Molecule: long non-coding RNA, 633 nt
Filed under: Homo sapiens (human)
Lineage: Eukaryota; Metazoa; Chordata; Mammalia; Primates; Hominidae
Description: HSALNT0345247
Source: RNAcentral
AGAAAUGGGCAAAAGAGGCCACCGACUUAGCUCAUUUAUCUCUAGCAUCUUUAACAGGUGCCAAGCAUCCUCCAUGCCGCCAUUUUUGCUGCCAACUAACUUUAAGAGCAAGCAUGGCCAAAAAGGGAGUGUGGCUGGGAGGCGGUCAGAUCAUAGAGAAGAGCAGCUGUGGCAGGGUGUGGGAAACGUAGCAGGAAAGGCAGCCCCUCUUACCUUUCUUCAUGCAGCAAACACUUAUUAAGCACCAACAGUGUGCUAGGCAGCACAUCAUGGGCACCAUCCACUUUAUUCCUGAGCGGCACCUGCCACACCAGGAGCUGGCCUUUGUUACUUUUUGCCUGGACUGUGAACCUCUAACACCUCCUGACUUUCUCUGUCCCCCUGCUCCCGCUCUCAAAAAACAGCCAUUCUGACCCACUGCUGCCGACUUAUUUCCCACUUUUGAAGGGACCAGAUGCCGCCCUCCAGGACCGCCGACCACUAGCGUGGGGGAGGUGUGCAUGAAACGACCAACACGCAGACAGAGCUCAGAAUCAUAAGUGAGACCCCCAGCCACGUAGGCUUUCCAGACACUCCCCAGGGAAUCCUGACAAAACCGCCAGGCUGGAAGGAGACGUGCCAAACGCUGCUGAC